Molecule: long non-coding RNA, 856 nt
Organism: Gopherus evgoodei (Goodes thornscrub tortoise)
Lineage: Eukaryota; Metazoa; Chordata; Testudines; Testudinidae
Exons: 3
Source: RefSeq, a predicted model, not a curated record
CAGUCCUGACUCAUACUACACCCCUGCUACCUAGACACUGCCCAGGCCUCAGGGACCAGGAGCUCCUAGAGUUGUGCUCUGGAGCACACAGGGAGUGAAGGCCCCCUGCGCUGGAUCCUAAGGCUGGGCACUUCUGGAACAGGCAAGGAAGGAAGAGACCUUUCAGAACUACUGAUUCCUGCAGACUGAAGAGUACUGCUCCUCUUAUUGCCAGAGUCCUCAAACAGUUGCUCAACUUUGACCUGACUUCCAGUCAGAGGAUGAUCUUUCAUAGCACCUCGGUGUUUGAGGAAGAAAACAGUCAAAUUAACUGCUGGCAUAAGUGAUCUCAACUGUAUUGACUUCUCAAUAUGUUCAUUUUUAAAUUUGUCCCUUCAUCUAUCCCAUUUCUUCAAUCUGGCUUUUAGCCACAAAUUUUCAAGGAGCACAAGAUUUCAGACAGAAUUCAACUGGACCUAAAUAUAUUUCCAGACCAUUUUACAGUAUGACUGCUACACAGCUGAAUAUGACUGCUACAGUUCAGGUGAGACAAUUAAAGAAAGGAUCACAUGAUUUAAAACUUGUUUAACAAAUGUACAACUUCUACAAAAAUACAAAUUGAACAUCAGAAGUCUGUGAAGUGCUAUUUUGCUAUCAAUUAAAGUGCCAGAUAAUGCUAGUGCCCCCACAAAAAAAAAAUUUUUGUAUUAUGUUGGGUGUAUCUACAAAUCACACAUUUGUAAAAACAGAACUGCUUGUUGUUGUUCUACUAUUAUGCCCCUGUUAUUUCCAGUACUUUCAUGUGAGACAAUAAAUAUAAGUGUGCACUAGUUAAACUAGAAUACAGCUGUGGAUUAAUAAACUACCAUAUAUAUCA